This is a non-coding RNA of Cordylochernes scorpioides, 72 nucleotides long. Lineage: Eukaryota; Metazoa; Arthropoda; Arachnida; Pseudoscorpiones; Chernetidae. The record is from the annotation of a GenBank genome assembly.
UCUCCACGCCGGGAUUCGAACACGGGUCUCCUGAGUGAGAGCCAGUAUCCUAACCACUAGACCACGUGGGAG